RNAcentral lists this ribosomal RNA (1994 nucleotides) under human gut metagenome. RNAcentral's name for it is "bacterial LSU rRNA". It matches the Rfam family "Bacterial large subunit ribosomal RNA", at positions 1 to 2007 of the family's 2925-position model. The record is from RNAcentral.
UAAAGUAAGAAAGAGCGUAUGGCGGAUGCCUAGGCACAGAGAGGCGAAGAAGGACGCAGCAAACAGCGAAAUGCGACGGUUAGCAGUAAGCAUGCAACGAUCCGUCGAUGUCCGAAUGGGGGAACCCACCUGGAGUAGAGACCAGGUAUCCUGAAGUGAAUAAAUAGCUUCAGAGAGGCGAGACUCAGGGAACUGAAACAUCUAAGUACCUGAAGGAAGAGAAAAUAAACGAAUGAUUCCCUAAGUAGCGGCGAGCGAAAGGGGAAGAGCCCAAACCGAUCUUAGGAUCGGGGUUGUAGGACUGUCGGCAAAGAGCAAGAAAUCAUUAUAGGCGAACGGAAUGGGAAGUCCGGCGAAACAGGGUGACAGCCCCGUAGCCGAAAUAGUGAAGAAGCACGAGACAGCACCUGAGUACGGCGGGACACGAGGAAUCCUGUCGGAAUCCACCAGGACCAUCUGGUAAGGCUAAAUACUCCUCUGUGACCGAUAGUGAACCAGUACCGUGAGGGAAAGGUGAAAAGAACCCCGGGAGGGGAGUGAAAUAGAACCUGAAACCAUAUGCUUACAAGAAGUUAGAGCCCGUUAAAGGGUGAUAGCGUGCCUUUUGUAGAAUGAACCGGCGAGUUACGAUAUGGAGCGAGGUUAAGCAGGAUAUGCGGAGCCGAAGCGAAAGCGAGUCUUAAUAGGGCGAAAGUUGCAUGUCGUAGACCCGAAACCGAGUGAUCUAGCCAUGACCAGGUUGAAGUUGGGGUAAAACCCGAUGGAGGACCGAACCGACCCCCGUUGAAACGUUGGCGGAUGAGUUGUGGCUAGGGGUGAAAUUCCAAUCGAACUCGGAGAUAGCUGGUUCUCCCCGAAAUAGCUUUAGGGCUAGCGUCGAGGUAAAGUCGUGUGAAGGUAGAGCACUGAAUAUGUGAUGGCCCCAUCUCGGGGUACUGAACAUAAUCAAACUCCGAAUGUCACAAAGAUAUACUCGGCAGUCAGACAGUGGGUGAUAAGGUCCAUUGUCAAAAGGGAAACAGCCCAGACCAUCAGCUAAGGUCCCAAAAUAUAUACUAAGUGGAAAAGGAUGUGGAGAUGUCCAGACAACUAGGAGGUUGGCUCAGAAGCAGCCAUCCUUUAAAGAGUGCGUAACAGCUCACUAGUCGAAUGACUCUGCGCCGAUAAUUUACCGGGGCUAAGUAUAUUACCGAAGCUAUGGAUUUACGCGUAAGCGUGAGUGGUAGGGGAGCGUUCUAUGUGCGGAGAAGCGGUACCGUAAGGAGCCGUGGAGCGCAUAGAAGAGAGAAUGCCGGUGUGAGUAGCGAAACGUGGGUGAGAAUCCCACGCACCGAAAACCCAAGGUUUCCAGAGGAAGGUUCGUCCGCUCUGGGUAAGUCGGGACCUAAGGCGAGGCCGAGAGGCGUAGUCGAUGGACAACAGGUAGAGAUUCCUGUACUUACGGUAUGAAUGAUGGAGUGACGGAGAAGGCUAGCGGAUCCUGCUGAUGGAAAUGCAGGUGCAAGCGAGGUAGCCGACAGCCAGGCAAAUCCGGCUGUCGAAAGGCAAAGGCGUGAGGCGUAUGGAAAGCUGCGGCAAGUACAGAAGUCCGUGAAGCCAGCUUCCAAGAAAAGCUUCUAGUGAUAAUCAUACAGUAACCCGUACCGAAAAUGGACACACAUGGGUGAGGAGAGAAUCCUAAGGUGAGCGAGAGAACUAUAGCUAAGGAACUCUGCAAAAUGACUCCGUAACUUAGGGAUAAGGAGUGCUCAUAGAGAUAUGAGCCGCAGUGAAACGGCCCAAGCGACUGUUUACCAAAAACACAGCUCUAUGCUAAGUCGAAAGACGACGUAUAUGGGGUGACGCCUGCCCGGUGCUGGAAGGUUAAGAGGAUGUGUCAGCGCAAGCGAAGCAUUGAAUUGAAGCCCCAGUAAACGGCGGCCGUAACUAUAACGGUCCUAAGGUAGCGAAAUUCCUUGUCAGGUAAGUUCUGACCCGCACGAAAGGCGUAACGA